UGCGCAGGCGGAACUUUAAGUCAGUGGUGAAAUCUUGCCGCUUAACGGUAAAAUUGCCAUUGAUAUUGAAGUUCUUGAAUAUGGUUGAGGUAGGCGGAAUGUGUUGUGUAGCGGUGAAAUGCAUAGAUAUGACACAGAACUCCGAUUGCGAAGGCAGCUUACUAAACCAUUAUUGACGCUGAGGCACGAAAGCGUGGGGAGCGAACAGGAUUAGAUACCCUGGUAGUCC
RNAcentral lists this ribosomal RNA (229 nucleotides) under uncultured bacterium. RNAcentral describes it as "partial 16S ribosomal RNA". It matches the Rfam family "Bacterial small subunit ribosomal RNA", at positions 568 to 796 of the family's 1533-position model. The record is from RNAcentral.